GGCAGCCACCAUGGGCUCGGGAGUAAAAGUCCCUCACAAUUUCUGACUGUUGGAAGAACUCAGAGAAGGCCAGAAAGGAGUAGGAGAUGGCACAGUUAGCUGAGGUCUAGAAGAUGAUGAAGACAUGACAAAAGAUGGACAGGGAUGAUAAUUGGGCCUCCAAGAACAAUUUAUGAAAACCAAAUAUACAGCCUUAAAAUAGAAUGUGGACCUAAAUACCCACUAGCACCCCCCUUUGUAAGAUUUGUAACAAAAAUUAAUGUAAAUGGAGUUAAUAGUUCUAAUGGAGUAGUGGACCCAAGAGCCAUAUCAGUGCUAGCAAAAUGGCAGAAUUCAUAUAGCAUCAAAGUUGUCCUGCAAGAGCUUCAGUGCCUAUUGAUGUCUAAAGAAAAUAUGAAACUCCCUCAGCCACCGGCAGGACAGUGUUACAGCAAUU
This 436-nucleotide long non-coding RNA is filed under the name Homo sapiens (human). RNAcentral's name for it is "non-protein coding lnc-STK3-2:10". The record is from RNAcentral. Lineage: Eukaryota; Metazoa; Chordata; Mammalia; Primates; Hominidae.